ACCCUUUGAAAUCCUGAAUCCUGAAGAGA
Molecule: non-coding RNA, 29 nt
Filed under: Cricetulus griseus (Chinese hamster)
Lineage: Eukaryota; Metazoa; Chordata; Mammalia; Rodentia; Cricetidae
Source: RNAcentral